This 497-nucleotide ribosomal RNA is filed under the name uncultured bacterium. RNAcentral describes it as "partial 16S ribosomal RNA". It matches the Rfam family "Bacterial small subunit ribosomal RNA", at positions 28 to 507 of the family's 1533-position model. The record is from RNAcentral.
GUUGAACGCUGGCGGCGUGCCUAAUACAUGCCAGUCGAGCGAACAGACGAGGAGCCUUCUCUUCUGACGUUCGCGGCGGACGGGGGAGUAAAACGUGGAUAACACUCCUUUAAGGCUGGGAUAAAUUCGGGAAACCGGUGCUAAUUCCGGCUUAUAUAUUCAACCGCAUGGUUCAGUAGUGUAAGACGUUUUUGCUGUCACUUUGAGCAGGAUCCGCGACGGAUUAGCUAGUUGGUAGGGUAACGGCUUACCAAGGCGACGAUCCGUAGCCGACCUGAGAGGAUGAUCAGCCACACUGGAACUGAGACACGGUCCAGACUCCUACGGGAGGCAGCAGUAGGGAAUAUUGCGCAAUGGGCGAAAGCCUGACGGAGCAACGCCGCGUGUAUGAUGAAGGUCUUCGGGUUGUAAAGCUCUUUUAGUAGGGAAGAACAAAUGAAUGUGAAACUAUGCACGUCUUGACGUUACCUAAAGAGAAAGCCCCGGCUAACUACGUG